GUCUGUCUGUUAAGUACCGAACGUGACGUAUUCCCGAAUAUGACUGUUAUACCGAGUGAGAAUUUGCAUUGCUAUACAGCGUGUCUCGGUAUUCUGUACAUCCAACAUUCACGUAUUUAUUUUUGAUGUUUCUGUUAUGGUGUCGGUUUGAUAAUGUGUUAUGUUUUAUCGUUUGUAGUCCAAAUAAUUAUAAAAUUGCCUUUCAAUACCAACAUUGUCAUGACAAUUGUUUGGACAAGUAUUGUGAAAAUAUCUGUAAAAAGUUCGAGAUUGCAUGUUAGUUACGUAAGCGCGUCACUGUUUGACAUAUCCGGUGGUGUCUGUCGUUGAUUGAAUAUGUUCGUUGUUGUUUUGCGGUUUGCAUUUUGUGAAGACUAUUGUUUUAUAUGUUUGUGCAUUUCUCUGUGAUGAAUGUUCUUGCGUGAGUUUGUGCUGUAUUUCUGUCACGUAGUAUUGUCUUUUUAGCGAUUUUUUUUAACAUUGUCAUAAAGCGGGAGGUUUGGCGAGCCAUUAAAUCAGGUUCAACCCACCAUUUUUCUUAAAAUGUCCUGUACCAAGUCAGGAAUAUGGCAGUUUAUUAUCAAAUAGUUCGUUUCUAUGUAUGUUGGCGUUUGUUUUUGUUGGACUUCAGUGUUCCUGUUGUUCCUUUGUUUUCCUCUAAUAGUUGAUGUUUAUUCCUCGGUUUUAGUUUGUAACCCGGAUUUGUUUUCUCUCAAUCGAUUUAUGACUUUUGAACACCGGUAUAUUACUCUUGCCUUUAUGUACAAUAUAUAUCAACUAGUUUACAAACGAAUAUAUUAGACUUCCGUUGGCCAGUUUAUUGCCAAUAUUAAUUUGUUUGCAUUUACGAAUGUUUGCAUUAAUAUAAUAUGUUAUAUUCAUCAAUGUAAAUAUUUACCUUGGAAAAUAGGAAAAAAAUGGAACAGUGGUAUAUCUGUGAAAAC
RNAcentral lists this long non-coding RNA (944 nucleotides) under Mytilus galloprovincialis (Mediterranean mussel). The record is from RNAcentral. Lineage: Eukaryota; Metazoa; Mollusca; Bivalvia; Mytilida; Mytilidae.